Molecule: small nuclear RNA, 162 nt
Organism: Molossus molossus (Pallas's mastiff bat)
Lineage: Eukaryota; Metazoa; Chordata; Mammalia; Chiroptera; Molossidae
Product: U1 spliceosomal RNA
Exons: 1
Source: RefSeq, a predicted model, not a curated record
AUACUUACUUAGCAGGGGAGAUACCAUGAUCAUGAAGGUGGUUUUCCAGGGCAAGGCUUAUCCAUUGCACUCUGGAUGUGCUUAUCCCUUCAAUUUCCCCAAAUGUGGGAAGUCGACUACAUGAUUUGUGGUAGUGAGGGACUGCGUUCAUGCUCUCCCCUG